This 207-nucleotide ribosomal RNA is filed under the name uncultured bacterium. Its description in RNAcentral is "partial 16S ribosomal RNA". It matches the Rfam family "Bacterial small subunit ribosomal RNA", at positions 568 to 774 of the family's 1533-position model. The record is from RNAcentral.
CGUGCAGGCGGUUCCGUAAGUCGGACGUGAAAGCUCCUGGCUUAACUGGGAGAGGUCGUUCGAUACUGCGGGACUUGAGGUUGGGAGAGGGACGUGGAAUUCCCGGUGUAGUGGUGGAAUGCGUAGAGAUCGGGAGGAACACCAGUGGCGAAGGCGGCGUCCUGGCCCACACCUGACGCUGAGACGCGAAAGCGUGGGUAGCGAACG